GGAAUAUUGCGCAAUGGGCGAAAGCCUGACGCAGCGACGCCGCGUGGGUGAAGAAGGUUUUCGGACUGUAAAGCCCUUUUCUAGGUGGCGAGCGUGGACGGUAGCCUAGGAAUAAGUCUCGGCUAACUCCGUGCCAGCAGCCGCGGUAAAACGUAGGAGGCGAGCGUUAUCCGGAGUUACUGGGCGUAAAGCGCGUGCAGGCGGAUCGGUAAGUUACUCAUGAAAGCUCCUGGCUAAACCGGGAGAGGUUGAGUAAAACUGCCAGUCUAGAGUGGAUGAGAGGUAGGUAGAAUUCCUUGUGUAGUGGUGAAAUGCGUAGAUAUAAGGAAGAAUACCGGUGGCGAAGGCGACCUACUGGCAUCCAACUGACGCUCAGACGCGAAAGCAUGGGUAGCGAA
This 398-nucleotide ribosomal RNA is filed under the name uncultured bacterium. RNAcentral's name for it is "bacterial SSU rRNA". It matches the Rfam family "Bacterial small subunit ribosomal RNA", at positions 358 to 772 of the family's 1533-position model. The record is from RNAcentral.